GUUGAAGGAAACAAAUCAUCAUACCUUUAAUACUGGCUCCAAUUGGCCCCUUUCAUGAGUAGUCUUGGAGAGAUCAUUGCUAAUCUGGAAUGGACAUACUCCUUGAUCUUGGUUGGCUUUUUUCAAACUGUGAUGAAGACACUUUUUAUAGCCCUGUUCAGAAUACAGAAGGAGACCUACUCUUCUCUGAUCACAAUCUAAAUGCUACAGACAGAGGACAUGUGGAAAGAUCUGUCAUGGAUUAAAUAUAAACAAAAAUGAAGCAAGAAACAAAACUAGUCUUUCAAUGAAAAGCUGAAGAUGCUGAAGAAGAAAUGCAAAAUCAUUUCACAAGAAAAACAAAAUCAGACCAGGAUCACUUGGCGUACCAUCCUAGCAAAAUAUAUCUUCUUGGAGUUGCCCUGACAAUGCUCCUCAAAAACUACUUUCUUCAUCUUCUUGCGGGUUAAAUACUGGGAUUAAAUCCUAGCAUAAAAAUUACAUCUAAAAUGAAACACAGCUCUUCACCAUUGUUGACCUCUUUAACACCUUAAUGUCUACUCAAUCUGUUGUUCCUUUUAACUUCACUAGUGUAUUUUUCACAACCAAAAUUUUGGAAUGAUCUUGAGCUCCUUCAUGAUUUUCUUUCCUUUAAGUCAACAAUAUCUAGAAUUACCUGUACUGUCUUUCACACAUAAUUUCCUUCCCUGACCUGUUUUCAGAACAAUCACAAGUCACUUUUUCU
This 724-nucleotide long non-coding RNA is filed under the name Gorilla gorilla gorilla (western lowland gorilla). RNAcentral describes it as "lncRNA (ENSGGOG00000044543.1)". The record is from RNAcentral. Lineage: Eukaryota; Metazoa; Chordata; Mammalia; Primates; Hominidae.